This 484-nucleotide ribosomal RNA is filed under the name uncultured fungus. RNAcentral describes it as "eukaryotic LSU rRNA". The stretch from base 129 to 283 matches the Rfam family "5.8S ribosomal RNA". The record is from RNAcentral. Lineage: Eukaryota; Fungi.
AGGCCUUAUGGGCGCGGGGCGACCCGCGUCUUCAUAAGCCCCUUCGUGUAGAAAGUCUAUGAAUGUUUUUACUAUCAUCGAGUCGCGACUUCUAGGAGACGCGGUUCUUUGAGACAAAAGUUUAUUACAACUUUCAGCAAUGGAUCUCUUGGCUCUCGCAUCGAUGAAGAACGCAGCGAAUCGCGAUAUGUAAUGUGAAUUGCAGAUCUACAGUGAAUCAUCGAAUCUUUGAACGCACCUUGCGCUUAUCGGUGUUCCGAUGAGCAUGCCUGUUUGAGCGUCUUUAAAUUCUCAACCCCUCUCGAUUCGUUUCGAGAGGGAGCUUGGAUUGUGGAGGCUGCCGGAGACCUGUUUUUCAGGACUCGGGCUCCUCUGAAAUGUAUUGGCUUGCGGUCGACUUUCGACCAUGCAUGACAAGGCCUUUGGCGUGAUAAUGAUCGCCGCUCGCCGAAGUGCAUGAAUGAAUGGUCUCGUGCCUCUAAUC